CGCCGCUCUCCUGUAACCGCAAGGGGCUAAGGUGUAUGGAGCAUUUCUGGUGCUUGUAUCACUUGCAACCUUGGUGCAGAUUUCGGGUCUGUCUUGAGAGCGGAGUCAACAGAGGUUAUUCCUGGAAGGGAGUGAUCUUGGUUGCCUAAGGAGGGGUGAAACGCAUCAGGCCGGCAACGGAGCAGUGCAAAAUCCCCGCUCAGUUCAGCAAGCAGAUAGCCUGAA
This 225-nucleotide signal recognition particle RNA is filed under the name Chrysochromulina rotalis. RNAcentral's name for it is "partial Metazoan signal recognition particle RNA". It matches the Rfam family "Metazoan signal recognition particle RNA", at positions 12 to 248 of the family's 299-position model. Rfam says of the family: The signal recognition particle (SRP) is a universally conserved ribonucleoprotein. It is involved in the co-translational targeting of proteins to membranes. Lineage: Eukaryota; Haptophyta; Prymnesiales; Chrysochromulinaceae. The record is from RNAcentral.